UCCUCCAUCGCCACCUGCCUCAGCCCCCCUCCAACUUGUGUUCAGACUGAUCUACCACCUGGUGGUCUUCUGUCCAUACUGCAUCUCCACUGUCCUCAUGGUGUCUUUAUAUCGACACAGGGCCACAGGAAAUGACCUGCCCGUCUCUAUGGUGAUGACCCCGCCCCCCCAGGCUGAUGAGGGAUUGAAUAAUGACUAUGAUGACAUCAUCACUGCUGUCACCACAGAGCAUCACUUCUGAGCUGAUCCAGUGUGUUGUGGUUCUUAAAUGAAGAUAAAAUCUUUACGUCGUCAGCAAAUAAACCUCAGACCCCUGGACAAAUGGACAAAGCUGUCGACAUGUUUUUGGUCCAAAUAAAAGCUCAGGUUCAG
Long non-coding RNA from Micropterus salmoides (largemouth bass), 372 nucleotides. RefSeq lists it as uncharacterized. NCBI's taxonomy places the organism in Eukaryota, Metazoa, Chordata, Actinopteri, Centrarchiformes, Centrarchidae. The record is from RefSeq and is a predicted model, not a curated record. The transcript has 2 exons.